GGGCUUCACACGUCAUACAAUGGUGCGUACAGAGGGUUGCCAACCCGCGAGGGGGAGCCAAUCCCAGAAAACGCAUCGUAGUCCGGAUCGUAGUCUGCAACUCGACUACGUGAAGCUGGAAUCGCUAGUAAUCGCGGAUCAGCAUGCCGCGGUGAAUA
RNAcentral lists this ribosomal RNA (158 nucleotides) under unidentified proteobacterium. RNAcentral describes it as "partial ribosomal RNA". It matches the Rfam family "Bacterial small subunit ribosomal RNA", at positions 1211 to 1368 of the family's 1533-position model. Lineage: Bacteria; Pseudomonadati; Pseudomonadota. The record is from RNAcentral.